GCAAACUUGGUCAUUUAGAGGAAGUACAAGUCGUAACAAGGUUUCCGUAGGUGAACCUGCGGAAGGAUCAUUAACAAAUCAAUGUGUGAUGUGUGUGUGUUGUACAUUUUGUGCAACACACAUUAUCACUAAAUUUGUGCUCCAAGCUAGUCUUGGUUGCAUCAUAUCAUAUUCAUGAUUUUAUUGUCUAGUGUCAUAUUAUACAAGUAAUCUAUUUAAUACUUUUAACAAUGGAUCUCUUGGCUCUUGCAUCGAUGAAGAACGCAGC
RNAcentral lists this unclassified non-coding RNA (268 nucleotides) under uncultured fungus. Its description in RNAcentral is "partial contains small subunit ribosomal RNA, internal transcribed spacer 1, and 5.8S ribosomal RNA". The stretch from base 1 to 73 matches the Rfam family "Eukaryotic small subunit ribosomal RNA", at positions 1759 to 1831 of the family's 1831-position model. The record is from RNAcentral. Lineage: Eukaryota; Fungi.